RNAcentral lists this long non-coding RNA (640 nucleotides) under Homo sapiens (human). Its description in RNAcentral is "HSALNT0298125". Lineage: Eukaryota; Metazoa; Chordata; Mammalia; Primates; Hominidae. The record is from RNAcentral.
AGGGCCCCUCCUGGUUGAUUCCCCAAAUCCACUUCUCCAUCACCCUCACUGACCUUCUCCCACUGUGAGGCCUCCUGCCUUCCACAGGACCUGCCUGCUGUCUCACCUCUUCAUAGCUCACCUCUCUUCUCUACCCCAAGGCUGGCUUUGAGGGACCCUGGCUCCACAGUCCUUGCCACAGUAUGAACAAGGUCACUUCCUGCUGCAGAGUCCUCACUCCAGCUUUCUCACCAAUCCUCCCCCUACACAAGAAGAUCAUCUCUGGGUUCAGGUCACCCAUCCAACUCCACUGAUGGAUUUAGGCUCAUUUAAUCCAAACUCGACUCCAUUUCAGCCAGAACCAGGCACCUCUAGAAAGGUCACCCUAACUGCCACAUCCAGUUCCUGAUCUGCCAUCUGCUUCUUUUCCAUCACUUGUGGGGUAUUUCCCAGCCUACCACUAAUGUGAGCCCUCCUGAGUCAAAAGUUCCCCUCUUCCAGGCCUCCUGCUCAGCUGACGUCCUGGACCAGGCAGGCCACCCUUGUUCCACUUCCCCUGGGAAGACACCUGGGUCUUGUGCCUGCCCUGGAUUAGGGUGGGCAAAUUAGUUCAUCCAGGACUAGAAGAAUGGAAAUAAACAGACUUGUGUCUUGGGGCUGA